ACCAUAUUUGCAUAACAGAAAUGGAUCAUUCAUUCAAGAACAUAAAUUUACAUUGUUUUUCAGCCAUUCUAGUCACACAAAAAUAAAGUUUCCAUUUAUGGUUAUAUGCUAAUCAUAUUUUGUUGCAGAAAUAAAGAGUCCCAGUUGAAGAGAUGCUUCAUCUGAAUUCUUCCUAAAAUGUUCUUCUCCUUUGUCAGAAGAAGUUGCCAUUCUUCUGACCUUAUCAAAGCGAAUUAUAAAUAAUGGAAUUUGUUUUCUUUUCAAAAGAAUUGUCGGGCUUUCAACGUGCCCGCUAUAAAUGAAGCAGACAAUACCAGGCAAAAAUAGUGGAACUGACACAUGCAAACAACUGUGUGGACCAAAAGGAGUCUGAAGAAACAGAGGUCCAAUGGAAGGACUAAAACAGGGACUCAUCCAAAAGGAAGAGUGAGACACCUUAUGUGGAGAAGAGCUUGAUAUUGUCCUUCUACCAGAACAUCUCCCAGAUUCAAGGAACUCCCUUUAGCCUUUCUCCAGUGGUGAGGAAAGUCUUCCUAUCCCCUCAUUUCUGAAGGACAUCUUUGCAAGGGCUGAUCAUAUUUCAGGACAUAAUUGGACACGACGGUAGAAGAGUACAAGAGUGGAACUGAGUAAGAGUUGAGAUCCAGAACUCAGUACAUGCUCGGAUGGAGGUGAAGAAUAUUGAGCUUUAUUACAGAUUUAUCCACAUGUGCUUCCAAAGAGAAAGAAACACUGGCACUAAAGCACAGCCACUUGGAAAGUUAUUAUGGCUUUGGUUGCUAAGACAGAAAUAGAGCCUUUGGAGAAAUGAUUGGUUCAAAUCAUUGGGAAUGUAAUUUUCAUCAUUGCAUUCACUAAAAGGCUCACUUAGAGAAAAUGGCCUCCCAGUUUCCAAAAAUACAGUUUCCUUAAAAUGGGAAUAUCUCAGAUCUGAUCUUUGUGGGUAUUAAACCAAUUUACUUAUAAGCAAAAGUUAUACCUUUUGCCCUAAACAAAUUUAAUUCACAGAUUGAGUUAUUUAGCUGAGAUAUACUCCUAUUAGUUUCAUUAAUCUUAUUGACAAUUACACUGUCACCUUAGUUCAUUAGAAAAGUUUAUAGACCUCAAAGGUCUAGGGGUGCCUGGGUGGCUCAGUCGGUUGAGCAUCCGACUUCAGCUCAGGUCAUGAUCUCAUACUCCGUAAGUUCG
This is a long non-coding RNA of Herpailurus yagouaroundi (jaguarundi), 1188 nucleotides long. RefSeq lists it as uncharacterized. The transcript has 5 exons. NCBI's taxonomy places the organism in Eukaryota, Metazoa, Chordata, Mammalia, Carnivora, Felidae. The record is from RefSeq and is a predicted model, not a curated record.